GCCAAGAGGCAGACCCAGGUGGAGAAGGGACGACGGGUCGUGGCCAGCGCUGCGCAGCGUGGGAACCAGCUGAGAGCGCCGCUGGGCCGGAGCUCGGGGAGGGGGCGCCGCGCCGAGCUCACCGCAAGGUUCCACCCCUCGGCGGGCGCAGACAAUGGGGUCGCUGUGCCGGGCCGCCCCCUCCCCUUGCUCGGCGGCCCGCGUCCGCCCCCUCUCCCCAAAGCUGCUUUCAAUUUAAACGCCUCCAACCAGCGGGCGCUGCCCCGGGGGGCGCGACCGCAGCGCCGAGCGCCCCUGUAAUUUCCGCAGGGAGCUGACCGGCUCAAACGCGGCACCGCGGUGCCCCGACCGCAGGCCCCGAGACCGGAGACGGCGCCCAGACUGCCUUGCCCGGGUCGUGGGAGCGCCACCGGGGCGGCCUCCUCAGCGCCCAGCCAGGCCCUGCCGCCUCCUCCAGGCAGCCCGCCGCCACCGGGAGCCGCUCCUCCAGGAAGGCUGAGUGCCUUCCCCACACCGCUGCUGCCUCGCGGUUCCUCCCACCUCCGAAAGCCCAGCUCCCUUGUGGGGAAGAGGGACAGGGGAGGAGGCCAGGUCGGGGUUGUCCAUUCUGUUUGUGCAUCAAGUCUUCCGCAUCAGACUACAGGCUCCCUGAGGGCAGGGGUUGUGAGGGGAGGUACGAACUCGGGCAGUGCUGGGGAGCUCCCUGAGGGCAGCGUUCGGGUGUCCCUAAAAGGGAGCGAGUGAAAUGACGUCUGUAAGCGUGGCAGACUGGUGCUCAGACCUAGAGCAAGCUUUAAAAAAAUUUUUUUUUCAGGGAAUACUGCUAUUGAUUACACAAUAGUUUCUCUAAGGUAAGGCUGGAGAGGAAGCAGUCACUGUUCUUCCCUCACUCUACCAGUGCCUGCCUGGCUCACAGCUCUCUUCCCCAGAACAGUCGAGAAAGGAGGGGACACUUUCCCCCUUGCUGGGUCUCCUCACCUCAGGAGCCCUUCCUGGAAUAUGAGUCUGGGGGAAUGCGAGGGUUCCAUUGGCAGGUGAGAAAGAAGGGGCCCCAGCUUCUUAGCUCCCAGGGAAGGCCCUAGGCUGGAUUGUCUCAAGGAGCGGGUGGGUGAGGGCAGGACGCCGGUGGACAAGGGCAAAGCUGUCUGCAGAUCCCUCAGCUCUGCAGGGACACAGCAGAGUCAGCGGCUGGACACCAGGAACUGUCUGAGCUGCCAGCAAGGGGGCUCCAGGGUGGGCGUUGCGUUGUGCCAGUAGACAUGCCUGCCACAGCCCCUUUCCCAACUGAAGCGUUUGUUCUGUUCACUGUUCCCCGCUCCCCUCUGCCUAGAAGCUGCGCCUAGCCAUCCUCCCUCCCAGGAACUGCAGCGGGUGAGAGGUUGCAUUUUGAGCUAAUACCCUUGGCCUGGCUGUUGUGGUGAAGCUAAUCAGAGGUAAUUAUGGGGGAAGGAGGGAUCCUGAGAGGGACCCCACAGAGACCACCUCAUCCGCCCCAGCCCAGCCCUGGUGGCCCUGGCCUCCAGGGCCUAGGACAGCUCAGCCUUGCCUGGUGAGAGUGAACCCACCAACACCCCACCCCAUGGUCCUCUCUCUUCCGCCCACUCCCCAUUCCCACAGCUGCAGGUAAGGUUCACACAUCUAGGUUUUCCUCAGUCUCCCCAAAGCUGCUCCAUAUGCACUCAUUCAUUUCAGAUUUACUGGGCACCUCCUCUAAGCCAAAGCCCACACUGGGCACCUGACAAAAACUGGUCCCUACCCUCAUGGAGCAGCUGCUAGGAUUUUGGUCAGGGUAGACUUUGCAGGGACUGGGGGCAUAGCCUUGGAAAGGCAGAGGGUCCCUGCAGAAUCACAAGCCCCUUUAGGGGAGGGCCUCCCUUCUACCACCUUGCUGAUGCCAGAGGAGUGGAGCUUGCCAGCCCAGAGCUUCUCCACUUCCACCACUCCUAGCCUGUCAUGGCGCCCAUCCUCCCUCCCACCCAGUGUUGACGGGUGUCAGGCCACUCCCUGCUCUGUCUCCCUGUCCUGACCACCUGUCCUCCUCCCGCAGCUUCCUCCAUCCACUUGGGAUCCCCCUGCUUUUCUACUGGGGUGGGAAGGGGGUCUCUCUGCAGUGCAGAGAGGCUGGAUUGAGAGCAGCACCUCUCAGUCACCUCCUUGGGGUUCGAGGCCCCAAGCUGGGAGAGCCCUUAGAGACCAAGGAGAUCGGCUCUCUCUCACACCCUAGGAAAUUGAGGCCCAACGGGAUGGGGAGUCCAAGCAGUCAGGGUCAGCGGAAUUAAACCCCAGUCUCUGACUCCCAGUCCAGUGCUCCUUCUGGGGAGUCCUCCCUGAGCCUGCUUCUGGAGGACAGAGUCCAGGCCUGCUCCUUCUCCCAUCCCCUCACUGUGCCCAGAAGGAGAGAGGAGCAAACAGGGGUCCCCACCAUCCUGCUUUUCUGUCCUGCCCCACUAGCCUGGGCCCAGAGACAAGGCUGUGGGGUGGGAGGGACCGCAGGGGGCUUCGUUGAGGGUCUCUAAUUUCCUCCUGCUCCUUGAUGUCCAGAGGAAAACAGGCCUCCUCUGCCCAAGAGAUUUCCAAGCAUAAACAGAGGUCAGCGCCCCCCUUGCCCCGGAGGUGCCAAGGUGGUAAUUAGGCUUGGGGGUGCAUCCUGGAAGGGUGGGGGUAGGGCGGCCAUUAUCCUGGGGAGCUGCGCUGGGCAGAGGAGCUGUGUGGUCUGGGCAAAUGGGUGGUUUGUAGGUGGUCUGGGGAAUGAAUGACUGAGUGUUUGGGAGGGAAGCUUUCGGGAGGGAGGUGGAGGGGGAGGGAGCAGAGGGAUUGGAGAGUAGAGCCUGGAGUCUUCCCCCCAAUUCACUGGUCUGAGCCCUUGCUCUCAUUCUGGAGGCAUCACUCUGAGACAUAUAGGGUGGGGGGUGGUCUUGGGGAUGCCGCCUGGACAGUGGAACACCUGGAGCGCUGUAGCAGGGAGCAGGCUCUCUGCUGAGAUCAGGGGCUCUGGAGAGUCACCAUCUCCCCACCUGCUCCCUCAGCUUCUGGAAGGGUGCAGGGAGGAGGCGGGUGGAGGUGGUUCUUGCACAGGGUCCCUGGCAUGCUGCGGAGUGCUGGCUAAAGCACUCCGGUGCUGAGCCUGCUCCCGCUUUGUCCCCACUUCCAGCCGUGUCUAACCCCUCUCAUGGUAGGGACAAAUUCCUUCUGGGAUGAGAAGGACCCUUUGAUUCUCAACCCCAGGAGCUGCAGAUCCACAAGUCCCCCCGCUCUGACCCCCACAAUGCCCCAUCCACUGCUGCUCUGGGUCAGGCUGCACCAGGUACAUUGUAUCAGGGACUUCUUCACCCUGAGCCUUGGUUUCCCUACCUGUAAAAUGGGGGUAAUACAAUAUUUAAGUGUGAGGACUAAAUAAACCAGGGUCAGUGUGUGUGAAAUGGCAGUUAUGGCAAUGACUAAUGCCCCAGAAGAUGCCUGUCACGUCUGGAGGCCGGGUCUCCUCCCAGGAAUGGUUACCCGGAACCCAGGACUGGCUGUGACCCCUGGCAUAGGGACAAGGAUCAUGGCUGGCAGGAGGUGGGGUGAGUAGGUCAUGGGUAGGGGUGGGGCUGCUGGGACUGUCCAGUGGCAUCCUGCCCAGGCCCUGGGCACAUUCCUCCUCCCCCGUGCUCCCUACCUGCCGGAUGCCACCUGUGCUGCGAGUGCCACCACUCACCUGGCCUCUGCAGCAAGAGAGACUGCAGUGAGACUACCAGACACAGCUGCCCCGAGGAAAACAUUGAACUGGGGGAGUGGCCCCUAUCUGGAAAGCCUACUGGGGCAUCUUAGCCACUGACCAGCACGGAGGAGACAAGCGUCUGUGUCCUGGUUUCAUCCUGUGUCCUUAAGCAGCCUGGAAGCAUCUUCAGAACAGGGGCUGGGUUUCCACCCUCAGAUUGAGUAGUGGUUCCCAGAGGCCAGCUCCUGUGUCCCUCUGUGGCAGGAAUUGAUCCCUCACCAUCACAUCAGAUUCUUGAAGGGAGAGCUUACCCCAAGAACCUGACCCAAGGGGACCGGGCUGCAAUUUGAUAGGGAGCUGGAGGAACUGCAUGGCAUUUAGUGUAUGGGCGUGGGGGUGGGGGAAAGAAGGACACCUUCCUCCCCAAAACCUACAGUCAGUCCAGUGGAAGAGCAGUCCUGGGUGGUUGGGGGCUCCUGAUACCAGGACCACCAUCUCCCAGCAGGAAAGAAGCCCCUCCCCUGCCGUCUGGAACAGCCCUUCUCUAUGCAAACAUGGAUCACCUGGGGUUGGGGAGCAUUGAGGGGAGGCUGGCUGGGCCAAAUGGAAUGCUGGUUCGUAGGCCAGAACUCGGAGGAUUCUCUGAAGCAUCUUGGGAGGUAUGAAAUAAGAGUCACUUAGAGAGAGGACAGAGCUUUCAUGAAAGAGGAUGACUAGGAGGCUGUCUUGUCCAUCCCUUGCUUCUGUGCCAAGCCCCGCUAUUUCUCGGGAAUGUUUCCUGCUUUCAGGUCUAUUUCCAUGCUCAUUCAACGCGGAAGUCUGCAUACCUUCACCUCAAAAAUACAAACACACUUAUUAAAGACCUACUGUGCCCCAG
Pongo pygmaeus (Bornean orangutan) is the source of this 4577-nucleotide long non-coding RNA. RefSeq lists it as uncharacterized. The record is from RefSeq and is a predicted model, not a curated record. Lineage: Eukaryota; Metazoa; Chordata; Mammalia; Primates; Hominidae. The transcript is spliced from 3 exons.